This 494-nucleotide ribosomal RNA is filed under the name uncultured bacterium. Its description in RNAcentral is "partial 16S ribosomal RNA". It matches the Rfam family "Bacterial small subunit ribosomal RNA", at positions 28 to 507 of the family's 1533-position model. The record is from RNAcentral.
GACGAACGCUGGCGGCGUGCUUAACACAUGCAAGUCGAACGGUGAAGCGCCUUCCUUUUUGGUGGGUGUGGAUGAGUGGCGAACGGGUGAGUAACACGUGAGUAACCUGCCCCCUUCUUCUGGAUAACCGCAUGAAAGUGUGGCUAAUACGGGAUAUUCUGGGUCUGUCGCAUGAUGGGUCUGGGAAAGAUAUUGUUUCGGUGGGGGAUGGGCUCGCGGCCUAUCAGCUUGUUGGUGGGGUGAUGGCCUACCAAGGCGGUGACGGGUAGCCGGCCUGAGAGGGUGGACGGUCACACGGGGACUGAGACACGGCCCAGACUCCUACGGGAGGCAGCAGUGGGGAAUACUGCACAAUGGGCGCAAGCCUGAUGCAGCGACGCCGCGUGAGGGAUGGAGGCCUGCGGGUUGUGAACCUCUUUCGCCAGUGAAGCAGGCCUGCCUCGUUUGUGGGUGGGUUGACGGUAGCUGGAUAAGAAGCGCCGGCUAACUACGUG